Molecule: microRNA, 20 nt
Filed under: Bombyx mori nucleopolyhedrovirus
Lineage: Naldaviricetes; Lefavirales; Baculoviridae
Description: partial bmn-miR-415
Source: RNAcentral
UCGAGUUGACGGCCGUGGGC